GUGGGGAAUAUUGGACAAUGGGCGAAAGCCUGAUCCAGCCAUGCCGCGUGUGUGAAGAAGGCCUUCGGGUUGUAAAGCCCUUUUGUUGGGAAAGAAAUCCCGUCGAUUAAUACUCGGUGGGGAUGACGGUACCCAAAGAAUAAGCACCGGCUAACUUCGUGCCAGCAGCCGCGGUAAUACGAAGGGUGCAAGCGUUACUCGGAAUUACUGGGCGUAAAGCGUGCGUAGGUGGUGGUUUAAGUCUGCUGUGAAAGCCCUGGGCUCAACCUGGGAAUUGCAGUGGAUACUGGAUCACUAGAGUGUGGUAGAGGGAUGCGGAAUUUCUGGUGUAGCAGUGAAAUGCGUAGAGAUCAGAAGGAACAUCCGUGGCGAAGGCGGCAUCCUGGGCCAACACUGACACUGAGGCACGAAAGCGUGGGGAGCAAACAGGAUUAGAUACCCGUGUAGUCC
Molecule: ribosomal RNA, 450 nt
Filed under: uncultured bacterium
Lineage: Bacteria
Description: partial 16S ribosomal RNA
Rfam family: Bacterial small subunit ribosomal RNA
Source: RNAcentral